AUGAAAAAGAAAAUGUGUGAGACCGACGUACUGAAGCCUAAAACGGCCAUACAGGCAAAGCAAACCAGGAUUAAAGAGGCAGCCAGGGACCAUGUGUUACAAAACCUGAAGACUUCCCUGUCUCAGAAGAGGGCCCUGGACACACAAGAUCACCUCUACAGUUCUGAGAACGAAUCUCCACAACGUGUUCAUGGGGGAAAGCGAGCAAGGAUUAACAAGGCAGCAAGACGUGUGCUUUUACCCCUGGCAUCCAGUCCAAGUUCUGAUGACGCCACAUACAUAGGAAGUCCACAACGUUUCAAGACGAAGAUGAAGAGUUGGGUUUCUCCUCAGCCCAGAGAAUGGCAAGUACAUUUAUAUUGA
Molecule: long non-coding RNA, 363 nt
Filed under: Dicentrarchus labrax (European seabass)
Lineage: Eukaryota; Metazoa; Chordata; Actinopteri; Moronidae
Description: lncRNA (ENSDLAG00005028822.1)
Source: RNAcentral